AGAGUUUGAUCAUGGCUCAGAAUCAACGCUGGCGGCGUGCCUAACACAUGCAAGUCGAGCGAGAAAAGGGGGGCAACUCCCUGAGUACAGCGGCGCACGGGUGAGUAACACGUGGGUAAUCUGCCCUGAAGUGGGGAAUAACACCGGGAAACCGGUGCUAAUACCGCAUACGAUCACGAAGUCUGCGGAUUUUGUGAUGAAAGGAGCAAUUCGCUUUAGGAGGAGCCCGCGGCUGAUUAGCUAGUUGGUGAGGUAAUGGCUCACCAAGGCUACGAUCAGUAUCCGGUCUGAGAGGACGGUCGGACACACUGGAACUGAGACACGGUCCAGACUCCUACGGGAGGCAGCAGUGGGGAAUUUUUCGCAAUGGGGGCAACCCUGACGAAGCAACGCCGCGUGGGUGAUGAAGUCUCUUGGGACGUAAAACCCUUUCGACGGGGAAGAAACCGCAAGGUUGACGGUACCCGUAGAAGAAGCCCCGGCUAACUCCGUGCCAGCAGCCGCGGUAAUACGGGGGGGGCAAGCGUUGUUCGGAAUUACUGGGCGUAAAGGGUGCGUAGGCGGUUCGUUAAGUUGGAUGUGAAAACUCUGGGCUCAACCCAGAGCCUGCAUCCAAAACUGGCGGGCUAGAGUUCUGGAGGGGGUAGUGGAAUUCCUGGUGUAGCGGUGAAAUGCGUAGAUAUCAGGAGGAACACCGGUGGCGAAGGCGGCUACCUGGACAGAAACUGACGCUGAGGCACGAAAGCUAGGGGAGCAAACAGGAUUAGAUACCCUGGUAGUCCUAGCCCUAAACGAUGGAUACUUGGUGUGACCGGGAUUGAAUCCCGGUCGUGCCGAAGCUAACGCAUUAAGUAUCCCGCCUGGGGGAGUACGGU
This 875-nucleotide ribosomal RNA is filed under the name uncultured bacterium. Its description in RNAcentral is "bacterial SSU rRNA". It matches the Rfam family "Bacterial small subunit ribosomal RNA", at positions 8 to 886 of the family's 1533-position model. The record is from RNAcentral.